CCCGGCGCUGCCCGGCCGGGGCAUGGAGCAAACCUGAGGGCCGCCCUGGGCAGGGGGUGCUGGGAAGGUGGAAUCCGCGGGGUUCUGCCGAGAGGAACGGCUCGUGUGUUAUGCCAUCAGAUCCAACUAGGAAAAGACGCAAAACCCUUUCUCACCAUGUGGGCUCUGAAGAAGCAGUGAGGGCCGCGUGGGACUGAGGACACUGGAGUCCCAUCAGCACAGGAACAGGAGAAAGGCACAGCAAGGUCACCUUCCAGCUCUGAGCUGGUGCAGAAGAUGGAGGAGCGGUGCAGAAGGCAGGUGGGACUGGAGACCCUGCAGACACCUAAGUAGAAGUGACCUGGAUGAAUAGCAUCAGAUGUGGACUGGGAAUCUGCCUCCCCAGCCAACCUGCUCUUGACUGCUUGUACUGCUGGAGCAUCUUCAAAGCCCAGCCAAGACUGGAACUGUGGACUGUGCAGGUCCGUCCUUCGCACCAACUAUAGCAGUUUAUCCCUGCAGCGGCUGCUGACGUCUUUCCAUGCAGAAUUAAUGGUCUUCAAUCCAGUCUUCAGGCUGCUGAGCUCCUCCUUUUGUACAGUCCUUUUUCAGAAGCACAUCUCUGAUUUAUGCAGCUUGACAAAAUCCUAAACCUGCAGUCUCCUUGUCCUCCUGUUAAAUGGCUUGCAUGCGUCUCCAUCCUCACCAUGCCUUCUCAGAGAGCACUGGUGUUGUGCAUCUCUCCAUCCCUCCGAGGUGCAUUUGGCCUUCCUUCUCUGCGAUUCCUCCCCUUCCCUUUUUCCUGACACAGACUCAAGUUUUAAAAAUCCAUUUUCCUUCUCUGAGCCACCAUUAUGCACAAAUACUUCUCUGCUCUUCUUCACAUGCCACCAAUUUCCUCCAGAACCUAUCACUCUCAUCUAGCUGCUUAACUGUGUAAUGAUAUGAAAUAUUCACUCUAAUGAGCCCCUGCUGUGGAUACCACUUGAUCCUGCCUUGUUUUUGUUCUUUUUGACUCCAACCUCACUGAAUGUUCGACUUUCCUUCUCCCAAAUUUCAAACUGCUUCCUGAAGCUACACCAUACGUGCAUAUGUACAGUUCAUACAACAUACGUCUUUUCUGCUGAUGUUUUCAGAAGGAACAAGGGCUAUCUUGAUGGGAAUUUUCAGCAAAUACCACGUGAUCAGUCUCGGACAGCUGCCAUGGAAACUUCAUCCUGAAGUUUUGCAAAGUAGAUGAAAAUAAAAUUUUGUAAUGAAAAAUGUCAGGGAACCUAAAUAGCAGACUGUUCCUUGGUGGUUAGUCCUUUGGCAAUUGGAAAGCACAGAGCUGCCAGCCCUUCAGCCUCAUGCACAGAAAUCAGCAUAUGUGGGACGAACAACCUGAUUAAAUGAAUACGAUUUAAGUUUUCAAGUAAAAGGGAAUCCAGAAGAACUACCCUAGUUGUGGCUUUAAAUACUGAACUUCUAAAUACUACCUCUGUUUUCUAUACCUUUGUGAUGCACCUACACAAACUAAUGGAAGGAUGAAAUGAUAGCACAGGGGCCUGGAGAUUGCUGCAUUCACGCUUUGUUUGCUUUGCUCAGGAUGGAAAGGCAGCAGGGUUGGGAAGAGCCAGCUACAGAGGAUGCUCUUCUGACAUGGUGGUUUGUUCGAUGGGCCUGAUCUAGAACUAUCUCGCAUAAUUAAGAUCUGAGAAAAGACAACCUUCUGUCCCUUCCCCAUAAAUCUGUGUUUGCAUUCAAAUGGUGAGUUGGAAUAUUGGAGUAAGUCUUCUUUUUUUCUUCUCCUUUGGGAUAUGAUAAAUUUUGCAAUUGCCAGAAUAAAUACAGAUUUAUC
RNAcentral lists this long non-coding RNA (1819 nucleotides) under Gallus gallus (chicken). Its description in RNAcentral is "lncRNA (ENSGALG00010020051.1)". Lineage: Eukaryota; Metazoa; Chordata; Aves; Galliformes; Phasianidae. The record is from RNAcentral.